CCGCUCCCGGAAGCGGCUCCGGCGCCCGCGAGACUGCGCGGAACCGCGGGUGGGCUAGAGCGGUGCUGCGGCGUGGAGCCAGCGGCGAUGGAGGAUGAGAGGACUUUCUCGGACAUCUGUGGCGGCCGCCUGGCCCUGCAGCGCCGCUACUACUCGCCGUUCUGCCGGGAGUUUUGCCUCAACUGCCCUCGGCUCUCGCUGCGGUCGCUCACUGCUGUCACCUGCACCGUGUGGCUGGCGGCCUACGGACUCUUCACCCUCUGGGAGAACAGCAUGAUCCUCUCUGCUGCCAUCUCCAUCACCCUCUUAGGCUUGCUUGGGUACCUCCAUUUUGUGAAGAUUGAUCAAGAGACUUUGUUAAUUAUUGAUUCCCUUGGCAUCCAGAUGACUUCAUCCUAUGCUUCAGGCAAAGAAAGCACUACCUUCAUAGAGAUGGGCAAAGUCAAGGAUGUUGUCAUUAACGAGGCUAUUUACAUGCAGAAGGUGAUUUACUACCUCUGCAUUUUAUUGAAGGAUCCAGUGGAACCACAUAUGAUAUCCCAAGUAGUACCUGUCUUCCAGCCCGGGCUGUGGGACCGCAUCUGAACUGCUCCUGCUGGGGACGGGCACUGGCACCAGGCCAUCCCAACCCUGGAUAUUGCUCAGUCUCCACCUCCCUACUUGCCCACUCUGCCCACCAGUGGCAUUCAAGCCCUUUGAGCCUUGCUUGGACUCACCACAGCAGGCAACGUGACUCCGGGAAGACACAUCUGACAGCUGCAUGCCUGAAGUGGCCACUGCAUAGAUCCGGCUCUCCUGAAAUGAGAAGUCCCAGGUCUUGCUAUGUUGCCCAGGCUGGACCUGAACUCUGGGAUUAAAGUGAUCCUUCUGCCUCUGCCUCUGUCCUGGGACUACAGGAACCUGAAACCUGCAAUCAAGAGACCAGAAACUGGAGCGAGUAACCCACACAGGAAAAGGCACGCAAGUUUUACCAAGUCAUGAAUGUUGGACAGAAGUGGGGUUCUGUGAGGUACUCCAGGAGUCCCUGUUUGCUUGAGUUUUGCCUACGCAGGAAGACAGUAACUAAGGCAAUGACUGGGAGCAUUUUUUUUUUUAAAGAAUACAAUGAAAUGUUAAAUGAGAAGGCCUUGGACACUAAAGAGAUUUCCUAGAUUGACCUUCGGCUGGAUCCCUUAGUUCUAAUAUCUGCUCUGCAGCUUAGAAAAUGGCCUAUGACUUCCAUAAGAAGGCCAUACCCAUGACCUUCUGCAAUAAUUGUCUGACUUUUUCUAAUACAUCCAUUGGAAUAUUUGUCUUCCAAUUUUGAGAUGGAGACCAAGGUAGAAUAAGGAACAAACUUGAGUCUUACCUCCCAACUAGGCAUUUUCAUUUGGAUCAAGAGUGAGUGGUCAAUGAUACUAAUCAGAGCCAGAAAUCACUUGUCAUGGGCAAUGCAGCAAGAAUUUUUCCCCUCAAGAUUUUGUUAUCCAUCCCUUUAAGGUAUUUUAUUAUCCAACCCUUCAAGGUUUUGCUUUACCAAAGCAAAAGAAAUGGCAAGGAACUGUCCAGGGCCAGGAUCUCCUCCCAGCCAGGGCUGGCUGCUUCAAGGCUGCCAGGUGGUCCCCACUGUUGCCAACCCUCCCAGUCAUUCUUAUCUUCCUGGCAAGGACACGUGACACUCGAAGCAUUUUGUGUUCACUUUUAUGCUGAGGCAUUCUAUUUCCUCUAAAACUAGUUUCUGAAUAUUGAAAACAUUUUGAACAACCAGACUUUUUAAAAAGAUAAAGCAUAAUCCCAUAUAUACGCUGUUAUACUCAACAAUUACUAACAUCCCACUGUUCUUGUUUGAAAAUAUCUUUAACAUUUUGUUUCUAUCUGUUUUUAUGAAAGUAUACUUUCUCUCUUGCCGCUGGAGUACUCUAGGUGUGUCAUUUUGGGAGUUUAUAGGCUCCCCUUUUAAUCCCAGCAUCAACACUUCAUGCCUAGAUCCUUCUUCUCCACAUUUGCUUAAAGGGUCAUACCUGGAGCUCUGGAAAUCUGGCACUUUAGGUGGGCCUCCCUUUAUUUGGGUUCUGUUCCUUCUCCCACAGGCCUUGCCAGGACAAUGUCCUCAGCUGUCCUUAGUUUGCGGGUCUGGGGUGACUCAUCAACCAAGGAGGUGUCAGGUUUAGGUGGCUGACAGGGAUCUACUUUCAUCAGCUGCACGUAAGAUGCAUAAGCUGCCCUAGAACUGGCUGCAGUAACCUGACGAAAUGCACUUGGCACCAAUCUGGUAUUCAAGCCCCAUGUCCACGGUUCCUUAUUCCAUAUGGCAAUGCUGUGAAGCAGCCCCACGAGGCAGGAGCAAUGAGCACUCUCCUGCAGCCCAGAGUAGUCCUGCCAUGCCAAGCAGAGGCCUGAACUGAAAGCCACACCAUCCUCGGUCUCCACUAUUUCUCUGAGAAGGAAGUUUAACUUUCCGGCCACCACCUUAUAUCCACGGUUACAGGUGACAGCCAAGGCUCUGGAACCUGGCUGACUGUGCUAUGGUGUAGUUUUAGAGAAGUUCCUUAACCCUGUGCCUCAGUUUCCUUACCAGCAAAAAAGGAAAGCAGCAACAGCAUCUCUCUGCUAGGGUUGUUAGAAAGAUGACACAAAGUACCCUCGUAGAGCAUUUGCUGGUUUGUAGAUAAAAGCUGCUUACUGGUGCUUUUCUGUACAAAUAUGGCACUUAGGACCAGGGGGACCAGUUUGCCGGGGAUAGUCUCACCUGCUAUCCCAGCACAGAUACUAACAGAGCCUCCUUUCAUUUCUCUUCAGAGUGUCCUGGUUAGAUGAUAGAUUACAUGUCAUCCUACUUAGAAUUCAUCUACAUAAAGAAUAGGUUUAAGUCAAAACUUGCCAACUAUGAGUCUAAAGAGUGCCUCUAUGACAUAGAGUGGUGUGGGUCUUUAGCCUACACGUACAUAGCUAAACAGGGACACUUGCUGUGUGUCUAGCACUAUUAUAAGUAGUCUUAACUCAUUUCAGUUUCUUUACAAAGUCAGGUACUAUUCGUGUCCCUAUCAUACAGGUCAGGAGACUGAAGCAGAGAGGUAAAGAAACUUGCCCAAGGUCACACAGGUAUUAGAUUCACAGCCAGGAUUCAAACACAAGUGGACUGGUUCCACGGUUCAUACUGUCAGCCACCAUGCUAUAUAGUCUCUCACAUUCAAAUCUAAAAUGUCACAUAAAAAUCCAGACACUACAAACAAUUCUCAAUUUCCAGCUUCUAUCAAAAAAAAAAAAAAAAGCAGAAGAUCUGGCCAUACCAGGAUGACGUUUUCUUAUGGUAAUAUGUGGCUUAAGCCCAUGUCCUUGAGUUCUCCCACAGCCUGCCUGGUGCUUUUCACUGUUACCUUUAUCAAAGUUACCUGUGAGCAUUUGGGUUUGCAAUACCAGUUUAGUUAUUAAACAGUUCUAACUCUGUUGUAAUCUAAGACAACAGUUUUUUGCUUCUUUUUCAUAGCUGCAGAUUUUAUGUUUGAUUGAAAUCAUAUACUUAGUCCCAAAUAUAUAAAAUUUACAAGUGUGGAGCUGGGAUGAGAAAUAACUGUACAAAACCUGGAGAACUGUUUUGCUACUGUUUUGUUUUUUGCAGUGUUGAGGAACCCAGGGCCUUGUGUAUGCUGGACAAGUACUCUACCACUGAGCUGUAUCCCCAGCCCUGAGAUUUCUUUACAAAGGCAGGUACUAUUCGUGUCCCUAUUGUAAAGGUCAGGAAACUGAAGCAGAGAGGUAAGGAAACUUGCCCAGGGUUACAGAGGUAUUAGAUUAGGUAUUAGAACACUUCUAGUAGUUUUUUUUUUUUAAUUACAUAAACUACAUUGUACUCUUCUGAUAUUUUUCGUCCAAUAUUGGUUUUUGAGAUUUGUUAUUAUAUAUGUAGCUCUACUUAAGACCUUUUUAAGUGCAAUGUAGUAUUCCAGUGUAUAAAUAUGCUCAAUAUAUUGAUCCAGCCCCCUACUAAGACAUUUAGAAUAUUCACGAUUUUUAUAUGUCAGUACUGCAAUAUGUAUUCUUAUAUGUGUCUCCUGUGACCAAUAUAUUUGGAAUUACUUCUA
Molecule: RNA transcript, 4061 nt
Organism: Ictidomys tridecemlineatus (thirteen-lined ground squirrel)
Lineage: Eukaryota; Metazoa; Chordata; Mammalia; Rodentia; Sciuridae
Gene: Pigh
Gene name: phosphatidylinositol glycan anchor biosynthesis class H
Source: RefSeq, a predicted model, not a curated record